CCUGGUGGUCAUGGCGGGGCACCUGCACCCGUUCCCAUUCCGAACACGGCCGUGAAAUGCCCCUGCGCCUAUGGUACUCCGUCUUAAGACGCGGGAGAGUCGGUCGCUGCCAGGU
This 115-nucleotide ribosomal RNA is filed under the name Arminella tumorigenes. RNAcentral also lists the same sequence under 25 other names. Lineage: Bacteria; Pseudomonadati; Pseudomonadota; Alphaproteobacteria; Hyphomicrobiales; Rhizobiaceae. The record is from RNAcentral.